Molecule: long non-coding RNA, 1127 nt
Filed under: Piliocolobus tephrosceles (Ugandan red Colobus)
Lineage: Eukaryota; Metazoa; Chordata; Mammalia; Primates; Cercopithecidae
Description: lncRNA (ENSPTEG00000001662.1)
Source: RNAcentral
GAGUGACCCUCCUAUCCCAUGGUGCCAACAAGGGUGGUGGCCUGCCAUGGCUGGACCACAUCCAUUGCACCCCUAGGCCUUGGCCCACUCUGGGCACAGGAGACCCAUGUGCUCAGAGCCUCCCUCCCCUGGAGAGGAUGACACAUGCCAGGCUCACCGCUGGCUCCACACCUGCUCAGGCCUCCACCCCUCCAGCCGCUCUGCUGACCACUCUCUUAUGGAAACCCUGAGCCCGACCCACCAGUUUUUCUUCUCCUGAUCCACAGACACCGACUCUGGUGCUGUGCCACCUGCCUUGGGUCCCACUCGCAGAUCCUGCCUGAGCCUUUCCUGGUGACUCACCCCUAGGUCGUGAGCACUGGUUGAACAGCUGCUGGCACAGCUUCCCCAGGCGACCAAGGAAGCAGCCCCGCCCCGUCCUCCUUCAGAAGAAGAGGGCACAAGGUUUUGGCGUCCAGAACAUCAACCCUACAAGUGUUUGGAUGACCUGUGGACGAUCACACCGGGACAAUCCCAGACCUCUCCCAGCUGGAGGAAAACUGUUCCAGUUAAGCAAGAAGAAACCGAAGCUGCACAGCAGGGGCCACCCAACUGGUGUUGCCACACUGGCCUGACGAAACCCUGACCCGAAACGGAAGGAUCUGUCCUCUUGGUUCAUGCGAAUCACCUUCUUACGUAGGUUCUGGGCAUGUCUCACCCUGUCUCUGUCCCCUCUGCCGUGGGGCCCCUGCCCAGAGCUCACCUAUUUCGAACGGACAUGCUGCUCCUUUUGCCACCUUGUGCUGUCACCAACCCUGCGUGGUUCCUGCAUGCUGCUGGUGACAACCUGCAAAUCUCCAACUCCUGUACCUCAAGUGGUCCUGAAAUCCUAUUUGACUUCCCCAAAACACUUACAUUCCUGGGAGUGUGACACAGCUUGGAGGGAGGACUCAGGCAGGGGACAGGAGAGAAGACAAAUGAAGCAUCAGGCUCUGGUGUCCUCAAAGACCCUCCCCUCCUGGUAUCUCCCACGCAGGGGUGAGUUCCUUCCCCUCCAGUGGGCUGCCGGGAAGGUUGGGGGACUCUUCCCAGACCGCUUGGGAGUCUAUGAAAUGCGCUCAUCCUGCCCACCGCUGUCUCUCCCAUGA